Molecule: transfer RNA, 78 nt
Filed under: Araneus ventricosus
Lineage: Eukaryota; Metazoa; Arthropoda; Arachnida; Araneae; Araneidae
Rfam family: tRNA
About the family: Transfer RNA (tRNA) molecules are approximately 80 nucleotides in length.
Source: Rfam by way of RNAcentral
GGUAGCGUGGCCGAGUGGUCAAGGCGCUGGUUUUAGGCACCAGUCUUUCGAGCGUGGGUUCGAAUCCCACCGCUGCCA